CCUACGGGUGGCAGCAGUGGGGAAUAUUGCACAAUGGGGGAAACCCUGAUGCAGCGACGCCGCGUGAGUGAAGAAGUAAUUCGUUACGUAAAGCUCUAUCAGCAGGGAAGAAAUACUGACCUUACGGUCAGCAGACGGUACCUGAGUAAGAAGCCCCGGCUCACAACGUGCCAGCAGCCGCGGUAAUACGUAGGGGGCAAGAGUUAUCCGGAUUUACUGGGUGUAACGGGAGCGUAUACGGUGCGCCAAGUCUGGAGUGAAAUGCCGCAGCUUAACUGCGGAACUGCUUUGGAAACUGGCGAACUAGAGUGCGGGAGGGGUAAGCGGAAUUCCUAGUGUAGCGGUGAAAUGCGUAGAUAUUAGGAGGAACACCGGUGGCGAAGGCGGCUUACUGGACCGUAACUGACGUUGAGGCUCGAAAGCGUGGGGAGCAAACAGGAUUAGAUACCCCUGUAGUC
Molecule: ribosomal RNA, 458 nt
Filed under: uncultured bacterium
Lineage: Bacteria
Description: partial 16S ribosomal RNA
Rfam family: Bacterial small subunit ribosomal RNA
Source: RNAcentral